UUUAAAUUGCUGUGGUAUUUUGACUAUACGAAGGUAUUGAAAUAAGGCUUUAAAUGAGUGCUAAGAGAAUGGUUUAACAAUUAAAAACUUUCUUUAAUUAAAUAAUUAAAUUUAAUUUUUUUGUGAAGAAGCAAAAAUUUUAAUUAGGGACAAGAAGACCCUAUGAAUUUUUUAUUAUUUUUAAAAAUAAUAUUUUUAAAAAUAAUUUAAUUGGGGCGAUUUGGAAAGAAUAAUUAUCUUUUUAAAAAAUUAAUUAGUUCCGUUUUUAACGAUUAUAUGAGAAAAAUACUCUAGGGAUAACAGCGUAAUAAUUUUGGAUAGUUCAUAUAGAUAAAAUAGUUUGCGACCUCGAUGUUGGAUUAGGAUUCUUUU
RNAcentral lists this ribosomal RNA (372 nucleotides) under Ixodes chilensis. RNAcentral describes it as "partial 16S ribosomal RNA". Lineage: Eukaryota; Metazoa; Arthropoda; Arachnida; Ixodida; Ixodidae. The record is from RNAcentral.